CGGGUGAGUAAUAUAUAGUUAAUGUGCCUCGAAGACCGGGAUAGCCAUUGGAAACGAUGAUUAAUACUGGAUAUACCUUUUUAUCAUAAGUUAGAAAGGGAAACGUUUCUUCGCUUCGAGAUCAGACUAUAUCCCAUCAGCUUGUUGGUGAGGUAAGAGCUCACCAAGGCAAUGACGGGUAGCGGGUUUGAGAGGAUGAUCCGCCACACUGGUACUGAGACACGGACCAG
Molecule: ribosomal RNA, 230 nt
Filed under: uncultured bacterium
Lineage: Bacteria
Description: partial 16S ribosomal RNA
Rfam family: Bacterial small subunit ribosomal RNA
Source: RNAcentral